This 269-nucleotide ribosomal RNA is filed under the name uncultured prokaryote. RNAcentral's name for it is "partial 16S ribosomal RNA". It matches the Rfam family "Bacterial small subunit ribosomal RNA", at positions 524 to 792 of the family's 1533-position model. The record is from RNAcentral.
UACGUAGGUGGCGAGCGUUGUCCGGAUUUACUGGGCGUAAAGGGAGCGUAGGCGGACUUUUAAGUGAGAUGUGAAAUACCCGGGCUCAACUUGGGUGCUGCAUUUCAAACUGGAAGUCUAGAGUGCAGGAGAGGAGAAUGGAAUUCCUAGUGUAGCGGUGAAAUGCGUAGAGAUUAGGAAGAACACCAGUGGCGAAGGCGAUUCUCUGGACUGUAACUGACGCUGAGGUUCGAAAGCGUGGGGAGCAAACAGGAUUAGAUACCCUGGUA